UAUUUUGACUAUACAAAGGUAUUGUAAUAAGACUUUAAUUGAGUGCUAAGAGAAUGGACUUUCAAAAAAAUUCUUUUUUAAAUUUAAAAAUUAAAGUUAUUUUUAUUUGUGAAGAAACAAUAAUGAAAAUUAUAGACAAGAAGACCCUAUGAAUUUUAACUAAAUUAAACUAAAGCUUUAGUUUAAUUUAGUUUAAUUGGGGCGAUUAAAAAAAAUAAUAAACUUUUUAUUAAAUAAAAUGAUCCAUAAAUUAUGAUUAAAUGUAAUAAAUACUCUAGGGAUAACAGCGUAAUAAUUUUAGAUAGAUCUUAUAGAAAAAAUAGUUUGCGACCUCGAUGUUGGAUUAGGAUACUUUUUUAAUGAAGAAGUUAAAAUAAGAAGUUUGUUCAACUUUUAAAAUCC
Molecule: ribosomal RNA, 402 nt
Filed under: Haemaphysalis mageshimaensis
Lineage: Eukaryota; Metazoa; Arthropoda; Arachnida; Ixodida; Ixodidae
Description: partial 16S ribosomal RNA
Source: RNAcentral